CCAAUAGCGUAUAUUAAAGUUGUUGCAGUUAAAAAGCUCGUAGUUGAAUUUCGAGACCGGUUUACUGGUCGUGCUUUUGUACGUACUGGUAUUAUUGGUUUCUCCUUUCUGACGAAUCAUAAUGCCAUUAAUUUGGUGUUUUGGGGAAUCAGGACUGUUACUUUGAAAAAAUUAGAGUGUUUAAAGCAGGCUAACGCUCGAAUACAUUAGCAUGGAAUAACGAAAUAGGACGUUUGAUUUUAUUUUGUUGGUUUCUAGGAUCGACGUAAUGAUUAAUAGGGAUAGUUGGGGGCAUUAGUAUUCAAUUGUCAGAGGUGAAAUUCUUGGAUUUAUUGAAGACUAACUACUGCGAAAGCAUUUGCCAAGGAUGUUUUCAUUAAUCAAGAACGAAAGUUAGGGGAUCGAAGACGAUCAGAUACCGUCGUAGUCUUAACCAUAAACUAUGCCGACUAGGGAUCGGAUGAUGUUAAUUUUUUAAUGACUCAUUCGGCGCCUUACG
This 499-nucleotide ribosomal RNA is filed under the name uncultured Glomeromycotina. RNAcentral's name for it is "partial small subunit ribosomal RNA". It matches the Rfam family "Eukaryotic small subunit ribosomal RNA", at positions 591 to 1092 of the family's 1831-position model. Lineage: Eukaryota; Fungi; Glomeromycota. The record is from RNAcentral.